RNAcentral lists this long non-coding RNA (299 nucleotides) under Brassica napus (rape). Its description in RNAcentral is "long non-coding RNA (BNAP_LNC023363)". The record is from RNAcentral. Lineage: Eukaryota; Viridiplantae; Streptophyta; Magnoliopsida; Brassicales; Brassicaceae.
AAUCACUAAUUAUAUACAAAUACUUUAAACAUUUACAUAUAAAACUUAAUAAAUUUUAUUUUAAAAAAUAUGUAUAUAAAUUAAAUUUACAUAAACUUUUUAAAAACCAGCAUUUUAAUCUUUUAUAAAUCUUAACACCAAACCCUAAAAACAAACUUCAAAUCAUAUACCCUCACUCCAAAUUCUAAAUCCUAACUCUACUCUUGAACUUAGACUUUUAGUCAUAGAAAUUAAAUCACGAACUCUAAUAACAAACCUUCAACUUUAAACAAAUUCAUGCAACCAUAUACCCUGAACUC